GGGCCUCUGGCGCAAUGGCAACGCGUUUGACUUCGAAUCAAAAGAUUGCAGGUUCGACCCCUGCGGGGCUCA
Molecule: non-coding RNA, 72 nt
Organism: Sclerotinia borealis F-4128
Lineage: Eukaryota; Fungi; Ascomycota; Leotiomycetes; Helotiales; Sclerotiniaceae
Source: the annotation of a GenBank genome assembly